This 502-nucleotide ribosomal RNA is filed under the name uncultured Glomeromycotina. Its description in RNAcentral is "partial small subunit ribosomal RNA". It matches the Rfam family "Eukaryotic small subunit ribosomal RNA", at positions 591 to 1092 of the family's 1831-position model. Lineage: Eukaryota; Fungi; Glomeromycota. The record is from RNAcentral.
CCAAUAGCGUAUAUUAAAGUUGUUGCAGUUAAAAAGCUCGUAGUUGAAUUUCGGGGUUCAUACGUUGGUCGGGCUAUUUGGUCUGUACUUAUGUAAUGGAUUCCUACCUUCUGAAUAACCGGCAUGUCAUUAAUUUGGUGCGCCGGGGAAGCAGGACUGUUACCUUGAAAAAAUUAGAGUGCUUAAAGCAGGCUAGCGCCUGAAUACAUUAGCAUGGAAUAAUGAAAUAGGACGGCAUGGUUCUAUUUUGUUGGUUUCUAGGAUCACCGUAAUGAUUAAUAGGGAUAGUUGGGGGCAUUAGUAUUCAAUUGUCAGAGGUGAAAUUCUUGGAUUUAUUGAAGACUAACUUCUGCGAAAGCAUUUGCCAAGGAUGUUUUCAUUAAUCAAGAACGAAAGUUAGGGGAUCGAAGACGAUCAGAUACCGUCGUAGUCUUAACCAUAAACUAUGCCGACUAGGGAUCGGACGAUGUUAAUUUUUUAAUGACUCGUUCGGCGCCUUACG